GAUCAUGCUCAGGAUAAACGCUGGCGGCGCACAUAAGACAUGCAAGUCGAACGGACUUAACCAUUAGUUUACUAUUGGAGCGGUUAGUGGCGGACUGGUGAGUAACACGUAAGCAACCUGCCUAUCAGAGGGGAACAACAGUUAGAAAUGACUGCUAAUACCGCAUAUGCCUAAGUACCACAUGGUACAAUAGGGAAAGGAGUAAUCCGCUGAUAGAUGGGCUUGCGU
This 228-nucleotide ribosomal RNA is filed under the name uncultured bacterium. RNAcentral's name for it is "partial 16S ribosomal RNA". It matches the Rfam family "Bacterial small subunit ribosomal RNA", at positions 15 to 236 of the family's 1533-position model. The record is from RNAcentral.